RNAcentral lists this transfer RNA (68 nucleotides) under Kentrochrysalis streckeri. RNAcentral's name for it is "tRNA-Met". Lineage: Eukaryota; Metazoa; Arthropoda; Insecta; Lepidoptera; Sphingidae. The record is from RNAcentral.
UUAAAAAUAAGCUAAAAAUAAGCUUUUGGGCUCAUACCUCAAAUAUAAAGGAUCACCUUUUUUUUAAA